GCUUAUCUAACCAUACAAUCCUAUGCAUACAUCUAAGGUGAGUGUGUGCGUGCCGGUGCGUCAUAGUGUCCAUAGUCCAUAUUACAACAUUGCCUAAAUACAUUCUAUGGCCUCUUUGCCAAGCUACAAACCAAUGGUAAAAUAUUACAUCACCGAAUGAAUUACAAUUUGUAAAAAAAGAAAACUAAACUAACGGAGACAAUAGUGAAGAUAAUGAAGUGCUAUGAAGUGAUCAACAUGAAAGGAAAUGUUAGUAGAAAAUGGUAAAAAAAGGAAUAUGGCAUAAAGCGAUGGAAGAAAGUAUGGCAUAAGACGGUAAAGUGACGAUGAAAAUAAGCCAGAAACAUGUGAUGAAUAAUGCGCAUGAUGCAAGAAUAAAACUCAACACAUCAAAACAGUGACAUAUGCAUAGCAAACAGUAGCAAAAUUCACAUGGAAUAGCAUGCAAAUCAAAC
Molecule: long non-coding RNA, 455 nt
Filed under: Medicago truncatula (barrel medic)
Lineage: Eukaryota; Viridiplantae; Streptophyta; Magnoliopsida; Fabales; Fabaceae
Description: long non-coding RNA (MTRU_LNC008561)
Source: RNAcentral